AUCCAGCUGACGAGUCUCAAAUAGGACGAAACGCGCGUACCUGGAU
This is a non-coding RNA of Schistosoma curassoni, 46 nucleotides long. NCBI's taxonomy places the organism in Eukaryota, Metazoa, Platyhelminthes, Trematoda, Strigeidida, Schistosomatidae. The record is from Rfam.